GACGAACGCGGCGGCGUGCCUAAUACAUGCAAGUAGAACGCUGAAGCUUGGUGCUUGCACCGAGCGGAUGAGUUGCGAACGGGUGAGUAACGCGUAGGUAACCUGCCUGGUAGCGGGGGAUAACUAUUGGAAACGAUAGCUAAUACCGCAUAAGAGUAGAUGUUGCAUGACAUUUGCUUAAAAGGUGCAAUUGCAUCACUACCAGAUGGACCUGCGUUGUAUUAGCUAGUUGGUGAGGUAACGGCUCACCAAGGCAACGAUACAUAGCCGACCUGAGAGGGUGAUCGGCCACACUGGGACUGAGACACGGCCCAGACUCCUACGGGAGGCAGCAGUAGGGAAUCUUCGGCAAUGGACGGAAGUCUGACCGAGCAACGCCGCGUGAGUGAAGAAGGUUUUCGGAUCGUAAAGCUCUGUUGUAAGAGAAGAACGAGUGUGAGAGUGGAAAGUUCACACUGUGACGGUAUCUUACCAGAAAGGGACGGCUAACUACGUGCCAGCAGCCGCGGUAAUACGUAGGUCCCGAGCGUUGUCCGGAUUUAUUGGGCGUAAAGCGAGCGCAGGCGGUUAGAUAAGUCUGAAGUUAAAGGCUGUGGCUUAACCAUAGUACGCUUUGGAAACUGUUUAACUUGAGUGCAAGAGGGGAGAGUGGAAUUCCAUGUGUAGCGGUGAAAUGCGUAGAUAUAUGGAGGAACACCGGUGGCGAAAGCGGCUCUCUGGCUUGUAACUGACGCUGAGGCUCGAAAGCGUGGGGAGCAAACAGGAUUAGAUACCCUUGAAUUCCCCUCACUAAAGGGCACAAAAGCGGGUACGAAGUCCUAUCUCAGAGAAUCGACUCGUUUGUAUAU
RNAcentral lists this ribosomal RNA (848 nucleotides) under uncultured Streptococcus sp. RNAcentral describes it as "bacterial SSU rRNA". It matches the Rfam family "Bacterial small subunit ribosomal RNA", at positions 28 to 853 of the family's 1533-position model. The record is from RNAcentral. Lineage: Bacteria; Bacillati; Bacillota; Bacilli; Lactobacillales; Streptococcaceae.